GGACUACUAGGGUUUCUAAUCCUGUUUGCUACCCACGCUUUCGUGCCUCAGCGUCAGUUAUGGUCCAGCAAGCCGUCUACACCGCAGGUGUUCCUCCUGAUAUCUACGCAUUUCACCGCUACACCAGGAAUUCCGCUUACCUCUCCCACACUCCAGCUUUCCAGUUUUCGGCGCACCCUCCCAGUUAAGCCGGGAGAUUUCACACCAAACUUAGAAAACCGCCUACGCACUCUUUACGCCCAGUAACUCCGAACAACGCUCGCUGCCUACGUAUUACCGCGGCGGCUGGCAC
This 292-nucleotide ribosomal RNA is filed under the name uncultured Acidobacteriota bacterium. RNAcentral's name for it is "uncultured Acidobacteria bacterium partial 16S ribosomal RNA". The record is from RNAcentral. Lineage: Bacteria; Pseudomonadati; Acidobacteriota.